GUUGGCAUAGUGUACGUAAGGCGCAUGAGUGGUGUUUGGUUUGUUUGGGUUGGUCGGAUCCCUGCUUGUGCAGCGACGUCCACUCUCACAUCCCUUUUCAUUCUUGCUCCAAGAGCAAUAUGCCUUGGACCAAUUCGGUUGCCUGUGUUGUAUACCUACGUUGAUGGAAUUCGCUCGUCCAAUCACCCCUUAUUCACCUUGUGCUGCUUACGCGGUACACGAUGAACCAUGCAGUGUCCUUUGUUGGGCAUUCUUGCCCUGCGUUCGCGCUAUGCAUGAAAUGGCCAACGUCGUGACACUCGAAUUCUCGGAUACGGAACCCUAAGCGGGCAACGGGUCUUUGGCCUUGAUUUGCCCAAACUAAGUUCUUACGAACGACUGUCGUGCUCGUUUUGACCUGAGGAUGCUUUCGGUCCGACUGGCUCAUGCGGUGCAGACGUCGAAGAGGAAUGCUACC
Molecule: unclassified non-coding RNA, 457 nt
Filed under: Sciodaphyllum glabratum
Lineage: Eukaryota; Viridiplantae; Streptophyta; Magnoliopsida; Apiales; Araliaceae
Description: Schefflera glabrata partial may contain external transcribed spacer and 18S ribosomal RNA
Source: RNAcentral